This 427-nucleotide ribosomal RNA is filed under the name uncultured Lysobacter sp. RNAcentral describes it as "bacterial SSU rRNA". It matches the Rfam family "Bacterial small subunit ribosomal RNA", at positions 355 to 774 of the family's 1533-position model. Lineage: Bacteria; Pseudomonadati; Pseudomonadota; Gammaproteobacteria; Lysobacterales; Lysobacteraceae. The record is from RNAcentral.
UGGGGAAUAUUGGACAAUGGGCGCAAGCCUGAUCCAGCCAUGCCGCGUGUGUGAAGAAGGCCUUCGGGUUGUAAAGCACUUUUGUACGGGAAGAAAAGCACUCGGUUAAUACCCGGGUGUCAUGACGGUACCGUAAGAAUAAGCACCGGCUAACUUCGUGCCAGCAGCCGCGGUAAUACGAAGGGUGCAAGCGUUACUCGGAAUUACUGGGCGUAAAGCGUGCGUAGGUGGUUUGUUAAGUCUGAUGUGAAAGCCCUGGGCUCAACCUGGGAAUUGCAUUGGAUACUGGCAGUCUAGAGUGCGGUAGAGGGUAGCGGAAUUCCCGGUGUAGCAGUGAAAUGCGUAGAUAUCGGGAGGAACAUCCGUGGCGAAGGCGGCUACCUGGACCAGCACUGACACUGAGGCACGAAAGCGUGGGGAGCAAACA